UUCGGUACGUAAAGUUCUUUUAUUAGGGAAGAAUAAAUGAUGGAAAAAUCAUUCUGACGGUACCUAAUGAAUAAGCCCCGGCUAACUAUGUGCCAGCAGCCGCGGUAAUACAUAGGGGGCAAGCGUUAUCCGGAAUUAUUGGGCGUAAAGGGUGCGUAGGCGGUUAAAUAAGUUUAUGGUCUAAGUGCAAUGCUCAACAUUGUGAUGCUAUAAAAACUGUUUAGCUAGAGUAAGAUAGAGGCAAGUGGAAUUCCAUGUGUAGUGGUAAAAUGCGUAAAUAUAUGGAGGAACACCAGUAGCGAAGGCGGCUUGCUGGGUCUUUACUGACGCUGAGGCACGAAAGCGUGGGGAGCAAACAGGAUUAGAUACCCUGGUAGUCCACGCCGUAAACGAUGAGUACUAAACGUUGGGUAAAACCAGUGUUGAAGUUAACACAUUAAGUACUCCGCCUGAGUAGUACGUACGCAAGUAUGAAACUUAAAGGAAUUGACGGGACUCCGCACAAGCGGGGGAUCAUGUUGUUUAAUUCGAAGGUACCCGAAAAACCUCACCAGGUCUUGACAUGCUUCUGCAAAGCUGUAGAAACACAGUGGAGGUUUUCAGUUGCACAGGUGGUGCAUGGUUGUCGUCAGCUCGUGUCGUGAGAUGUUGGGUUAAGUCCCGCAACGAGCGCAACCCUUAUUGUUAGUUACCAGCACGUAAUGGUGGGGACUUUAGCAAGACUGCCAGUGAUAAAUUGGAGGAAGGUGGGGACGACGUCAAAUCAUCAUGCCCCUUAUGACCUGGGCUACAAACGUGAUACAAUGGCUGUUACAAAGGGUAGCUGAAGCGCAAGUUUUUGGCGAAUCUCAAAAAAACAGUCUCAGUUCGGAUUGAAGUCUGCAACUCGACUUCAUGAAGUUGGAAUCGCUAGUAAUCGCGAAUCAGCAUGUCGCGGUGAAUACGUUCUCGGGGUUUGUACACACCGCC
RNAcentral lists this ribosomal RNA (969 nucleotides) under Black-eyed susan phyllody phytoplasma. RNAcentral describes it as "bacterial SSU rRNA". It matches the Rfam family "Bacterial small subunit ribosomal RNA", at positions 417 to 1394 of the family's 1533-position model. The record is from RNAcentral. Lineage: Bacteria; Bacillati; Mycoplasmatota; Mollicutes; Acholeplasmatales; Acholeplasmataceae.